Long non-coding RNA from Metopolophium dirhodum (rose-grain aphid), 975 nucleotides. RefSeq lists it as uncharacterized. The record is from RefSeq and is a predicted model, not a curated record. The transcript has 4 exons. Lineage: Eukaryota; Metazoa; Arthropoda; Insecta; Hemiptera; Aphididae.
ACCUACUGUACAGCAGAGCGACAUCCACUUAUCCACCUUUUUAAAACUUGUUUUUAACUUAACGCCAACUGCUACCAACCAUAUUGGAUUAUAUUACAGAUCACCUAUCUCACCGGAGUAUGAGGUUCCACAUUAUUAUGGCUCAGCUAAAUAAUUUACGGCCAACAAGAAACCACUGAAUAAAUUAUAGAAAUUUAAAUUCUAUCCAACAUGCUUACUAACAAUACUCUCUUGGACUGAUAUCAAUGUGGCAGUUUCUUCGAAGAAUGUUGCAUACUACAGUAACAUAUGAACAACAGCAACGAAUUGGGCUCUGCAUGUGGAUAAUGAACCGCCAAUAGUUGUUCAACCAGCAGCACCAGUACCAGUAGCUGCAGUUUUAGUACCAGUUGUUGCACCAGUACCAGUAGCUGCAGAUUUAGUAGUACCAGUUGUUGCACUAGUACCAGUAGCUAAUAAUUUAGUACCAGUUGUUGCACCGGCAGAAGCAGUUGCGUUAGCACCAGUAUUAGGUCAGAUUCUUUAUGUAGAACUAGCUGACAAUGAAAGCCAGAUGAUAAUGGGAGACAUAGACAUUGGAGUCCAAGAGUAGAAGGAUGUGGUAGAAACGGAAGACUUAAUAUAUUUAAAGCUUUUUAUGCAGAACUUGUAAAUAAGGAGGUAGAGCCACAUCAAGAAAAUUAAAUUCUUGAAGUAUGCAUAAUUUGCUACAAUGAAAUUUCCACCACUACGGUAGUGCCCUGCCAGCACCAUUUCUGCAAGGUAUACAUUGAGAGGGUAGAAGAGUUUGUCCACUAUGCAGAACUAACAUCAUUAUGCUACAAAACUUAUCUCAAGAAUAGUGAAUCAGUACCCAAGGGCAGCUACAGAAUAUAGGUACCUGGCCAAAAAGAUUUUCUUUAAAAAGACUGUAAUGAUCAUAUUUUAUAAUAAAAUAUUUAUAUUGUUAAUUAACACAAAAUAUAUUAGUUAGCA